This 896-nucleotide long non-coding RNA is filed under the name Olea europaea subsp. europaea. Lineage: Eukaryota; Viridiplantae; Streptophyta; Magnoliopsida; Lamiales; Oleaceae. The record is from RNAcentral.
GUUGGCUGCCCUAUGUGUGCGCACGUGUGCUUGGGGCAAAAGAGAAAUAAAUAGCAGCCACUUCUCUUCGUGAAGCAAAAUGUCAUGAUUUUUUUUUUUAUCUCUUCCUCUUUGCGAGUGAACAGCCAUCUUCUCUUCCUCUUUGUGAGAUAUUAUCCUUUUCGGUUGUACAUAUACUUAGGUAACCUUAGUAAAUAUUUUUUAGGUUGAGCUUUGGAUUUUGGAGGAUCUUUGUGGUGUUGAUAUUGGAUUUAUAAACUAAGCCCCUUUAUGUGCAUCAAUUGAAGGUACUUCCCAUGGUGAACGAACGGAAACCAUAUUUCGACUCUAGAUGACGAGGCGGAGCUGCAUAGCAGGCGCGUAGAGUAGCAAAGGCAAUGGUGCGUGCAGCACAUGAGCAGAGACUGAGGCGUGAUAGAGGUCUUUGAAGCCAGUUUGUUCCUGUCUGUAUUCUAGACCUACUAGUGGUGUUACUUUUGUGUUUCGUGUGGUUUGCUAGAAUCUUUAUAAUUUUACCUUUGCAUCUUCGGUUGUCAGGUGCCUUUUUCUUUCUUGUAGUUGCAAAAUGUUUUAGGGUAAAUAAUGGUGGCUCCUUACUAUAAUUUUUUUUUUCUCUCCUUUAUUUACAGUUUGACAGAUUGGUCCAGUCGAUAAAUUGGUCAAUCUAUUUUACCUUCUCAUACUAGCAGGCCAUCGUGUUGAGUGAUCAUUAGGUUUGAAGUUACCAUGAGGGGUAAUAUCGCUUGUUGCUAGAACUUAGGAAUUAUUUGCCCUAUUUUUACGUGUUUGAAAUGUUGAAAAUUGUUAAUUUUUAUUGCUGAAAAUUGCACAUUGAUUUUGUACUAUAAUUGUUGGGUGAUUACAUCAUGAGACUUGCAAUUAGUAAGAAAAUUUUG